RNA transcript from Protobothrops mucrosquamatus (brown spotted pit viper), 1645 nucleotides. It is a transcript of the gene named poly(A) binding protein interacting protein 2, with no coding region annotated. The record is from RefSeq and is a predicted model, not a curated record. The transcript is spliced from 5 exons. NCBI's taxonomy places the organism in Eukaryota, Metazoa, Chordata, Lepidosauria, Squamata, Viperidae.
GUGACAUCAUAUCCGGCCUAAGAGGGUUGUUGUGUAUCCAAAGGAAGGGGGUGGCAAAGGAGAAAGGGACCUGAAUAAAGAAGGGCGAGAAGCAACGGCCAGCUGGGAGCCUCGGUGUCUGAAAGGCUGCUUACGCGAGGUGCGCCUCGGGGCUCGGAAGCGCAGAGGGGAGGGGCGGAAUACUGAAAGGCUAAAGCUCAAAGGCACAACCAUGAAAGAUCCAAGUCGUAGGAGUACUAGUCCAAGCAUUAUCAGUGAAGACAUGAUCAUGAAUGGUCACUCUCAUGAAGAUGAUAAUCCGUUUGCAGAAUAUAUGUGGAUGGAAAAUGAAGAGGAAUUCAACAGGCAGAUUGAAGAGGAAUUGUGGGAAGAAGAAUUUAUAGAACGUUGCUUCCAAGAAAUGCUGGAAGAAGAGGAAGAGCACGAAUGGUUUAUUCCAGCGAGAGAUCUUCCGCAAACGAUGGAUCAAAUUCAAGACCAGUUUAACGAUCUUGUUAUCGGUGACAGUUCGUCACUGGAAGAUCUGGUGUUUGAAGAAUUAACCUCAAGGGAAUAAUAAGGACAUGGAGAAUUCAUUUCCAUUGUUCAUCUGUCAGUUUCCUUGAGGUCAAGAGUAAUCUGAAUCCCAAUGCAAAGGAGUUUGUUCCUGGGGUGAAGUACUAAAUAUAUGAGUAGACUGGGCCCUCUUUUGGUGGAUGUAGCACAAUUUCCACACUGUGAAGCCAGUAUUAGAAGAUUUAAUUGUUAAAACGCUCUCUCUUCUUGUCACUGUGUUACACUUACGCAUUGCCAAAGUUUUGUUAGUCUUGCAUGCUUAAUAAAAGUGCUGAGACUGUUAUUAAGUCAACUGCUGUCAGAGGUUAAUGAAUUGGAAAAAUCUAAUUGGAUCCAGGCCUUUUGUGAGGGAGACAAUAAGGAAGGAAGCACCAGUCAUUGUUGAGAAAAGUACCAAGUUUCUGAGAAACUCUUGCAAUUCUGUUUUUAGAAGGAUUCAGACUUUGAUAAAGAGUGGUCUGUUUUAAUUAAAACUUAUGGCGGUGUUGAUAUGCACCCAAUAAUGCCUUAAUGUGAAAAUAAAAGCAAGGUUUAUCUGAUUAUGCAGAUUAGCUGAAUUUCAGUACUGCUAUUAAUUCUUCCCAUUAUCAAGCAAAACUUUAUUUCAUGCUGUUCUUUUUUGAGGAAAGUGUGAAUUGUAAAAAAAUACCUGAAUCAUUUUUACAGGCCUGUAUAGAAUCCUUUCUCUUGGCUACAGAUCUGGUUGGGGGGAGGCGGGGGGAGAAAAUUUGGCAAUUGAGAUUAUAUUUGCAGCAAGUUAUCAUGUUGGAAUGUUUGUCCCACUUCUGAGUUUAUAUUUAAGGUGAUGUGAAGUUGUACAUCACAGAUUCUUCCAGGAAUCCAGAAACAUGGCACUGCCUCUGUAAAAUUUUACAAUCUUAAAAAUUGGAUUUAACUGUAAAAUUUAGUAUUAGUGAUUUGAGUGGUGCUUUUCCCUUGCUUUGUUUAAUCAUCACUACACAAUAGUCUACAGCACAACUUUUUUUUUAAAACACCUAGUACAGUUUUGGCUUCUUAAACUUCAUAUUUGGGUAGCUUACGCUGCCUUAUGUGUUCAGUGUGAAUAGUGUUUAAGUUGAAAAUAUUGUAA